CGAAGUUAUAGGUUAAUUAAAACCUUGGGCCUUCAAAGCCUAGAAUGCUCUGCUGACUUCGU
RNAcentral lists this transfer RNA (62 nucleotides) under Hermissenda emurai. Its description in RNAcentral is "tRNA-Trp". The record is from RNAcentral. Lineage: Eukaryota; Metazoa; Mollusca; Gastropoda; Nudibranchia; Glaucidae.